AGAGUUUGAUCCUGGCUCAGGACGAACGCUGGCGGCGUGCUUAACACAUGCAAGUGGAGCGACGAACCAGGGCUUGCCCUGGGGCAGAGCCGCGAACGGGUGAGUAACACGUGGGUUACCUGCCCCGAUGACCGGGACAACCCGAGGAAACUCGGGCUAAUACCGGAUGUGGUCUUCGGACGAAAGGAAGCUUCGGCCUCCGCAUCGGGAUGGGCCCGCGGCGCAUUAGCUUGUUGGUGGGGUAACGGCCCACCAAGGCUACGAUGCGUAGCUGGUCUGAGAGGACGAUCAGCCACACUGGGACUGAGACACGGCCCAGACUCCUACGGGAGGCAGCAGUGGGGAAUCUUGCGCAAUGCGCGAAAGCGUGACGCAGCAACGCCGCGUGGGGGAAGAAGGCCUUCGGGUUGUAAACCUCUUUCAGUUGGGACGAAGCUCCGUCGGUUAAUAGCCGGCUGGGGUGACGGUACCUUCAGAAGAAGCACCGGCUAACCUUCGUGCCAGCAGCCGCGGUAAUACGAAGGGUGCAAGCGUUAAUCGGAAUUACUGGGCGUAAUUGGUGUGUAGGUGGUCCUGUAAAGUCUCUCCCCCCCCCCCCUGGGGCUCAAAUCUGGGAAUGGGCCGUGGAUACUNGCGGGCCUCCAGUACGGUANAAGGUGGUGGAAUUCCCGGUGUANCGGUGAAAUGCNUGGAAAUCCGGAG
RNAcentral lists this ribosomal RNA (702 nucleotides) under uncultured bacterium. RNAcentral describes it as "bacterial SSU rRNA". It matches the Rfam family "Bacterial small subunit ribosomal RNA", at positions 8 to 703 of the family's 1533-position model. The record is from RNAcentral.